UUCUAAUGGUACGGUUGCAGUGAGAAGUAACAGGUUAACCCUUUGCGGUCGUUUGUCUACUCUCAGCCACCAAAGCUUUUUUACCGUUCUGGUCGUAUGUCUGCUCUCAGCCACCACAGCAAGGAACCGUACGAAUCUUAACUCUAUUCAUUCAUGUAUCAGUUCAUAAUUUCUCUGAAAGCUCUUAAGUGUCUAAGCGACCUUGUCACGAACCAAAACAUUGCCCCGACAAAUCGGAGAUAUCGAAACUCAAUAUAA
Molecule: long non-coding RNA, 258 nt
Organism: Myotis brandtii (Brandt's bat)
Lineage: Eukaryota; Metazoa; Chordata; Mammalia; Chiroptera; Vespertilionidae
Exons: 3
Source: RefSeq, a predicted model, not a curated record